GCAGCUCGGUGGUAGAGCUUCUGCUUUCCAUGCAGAUGGUCCCAGGUUCAAUCCCUGGCUUCUCCA
This 66-nucleotide transfer RNA is filed under the name Podarcis lilfordi (Lilford's wall lizard). RNAcentral's name for it is "tRNA.Gly". It matches the Rfam family "tRNA". Rfam says of the family: Transfer RNA (tRNA) molecules are approximately 80 nucleotides in length. Their secondary structure includes four short double-helical elements and three loops (D, anti-codon, and T loops). The record is from RNAcentral. Lineage: Eukaryota; Metazoa; Chordata; Lepidosauria; Squamata; Lacertidae.